CUACUAUACUAUCAAUAGUAGCAAGUCCUUGGUACUAUUGAGUUUUCUAUCGUUAGAUCCACGCUUUGAUCAUUUUCAUCCGUUGGAUUAUACUAUUAAACCAACCACCGACUCAACCCUAGGGGACCACUAUCAAUUUAACCGAGGACCACUAUCAUCCUAACCGUACAUCCUUUCAUCCAACGGCCGAAAACUCAAUAGUACCAAGGGCUUGGUACUAUUGAUAGNNNNNNNNNNNNNNNNNNNNNNNNNCUACCAAGUUGUUUUCAAUGAUGCGGCUUCCAAAUCGACGAUCGGCUCCGUUAGACUUGAUCUAUACUAUUUAAAGUAUUUGAAAAUUAAUUUUUAUAAUUUUUCGGCAUCAUUUACCUAUCAAACAAGUAGUCUAAAAAUGAACGGCUGAAAAUAAAAAUUUUAUAAAAAAUGAUGAUAAAAGACUUGAAUUUAAGAUCAGAGGUACUGAUCUUACUCUAAAUGGUGAAAAGAAUUUUCUAUAAAAAUUUCAUCAGAUUUGGAUUGUUUUACACCGUUAAAUUCACAAACGCAUCACAUCUACCAUUAAAAUUGUCAAUUUUGAGACCUUUUGAUCACUAGCCAAAUGAUGUCGAAAAAUUAUGAAAUUUAGUUUCCAAAUACUUUUAAUAAUGUAGAUCAAGCCUAACGGAGCCAAUCGUCGAUUUGGAAGCCGCAUCAUUGAAAACAACUUGGUAGCACGGAGGCCUCAGUGCUACCGAUAGUAUACUAGUCUAGCUCUCUCUCUCUCUCUCUAUAUAUAUAUAUAUAUAUAUAUAUAUAUAUCUAUAUAUGUAUAUAUAUAGAGAACUAGGUUGGAAUACUUACCAAUAGUACCAAGCUAUCGGUGCUAUUAGGUUUUCGGCCCUUGGAUGAAGGAAUGUACGGUAUAGAACUAGGCUGGAAUACUACCAAUAGCACCAAGCUAUCGGUGCUAUUAGGUUUUCGGCCCUUGGAUGAAGGAAUGUACGGUAUAGAACUAGGCUGGAAUACUACCAAUAGCACCAAGCUAUCGGUGCUGUUAGGUUUUCGGCCCUUGGAUGAAGGAAUGUACGGUUAGGAUGAUGUGAGCCACCUAGGGUUUAGUAAGUUGUUGGUUGAAUAGUAUAAUCUAACGGGUGAAAAGAGUCAAAAGGUUAAAUCUAACGAUGGAAAACUCGGUAACACUAAGUGCUUAGUGCUAUCAAUAGUAUCCCAGCCGGACUCGAUAUAUAUAUAUAUAUAUAUAUAUAUAUAUAGAGAGAGAGAGAGAGAGAGAGAGAGAGAGAGAGCUAGGCUGGUAUACUAUCGGUAGCACGGAGGUCUCCGUGCUACCAAGUUGUUUUCAAUGAUGCGGCUUCCAAAACGACGAUCGGCUUCGUUAGACUUAAUCUACACUAUUGAAAGUACUUGGAAACUAAAUUUCAUAAUUUUUCGACAUCAUUUACCUAUCAAAUGAGUAGUCUAAAAAUGAACGGUUGAAAAUAAAAAUCUCAUAAAAAAUGAUGAUAAAAGACUUGAAUUUAAGAUUAGAGGUACUGAUCUUAUUUUAAAUAGUGAAAAGAAUUUUCUAUAAAAAUUUCAUUAGAUUUGGAUUGUUUUACACCGUUAAAUUCACAAAC
RNAcentral lists this long non-coding RNA (1613 nucleotides) under Ananas comosus (pineapple). RNAcentral's name for it is "long non-coding RNA (ACOM_LNC026285)". The record is from RNAcentral. Lineage: Eukaryota; Viridiplantae; Streptophyta; Magnoliopsida; Poales; Bromeliaceae.